UGGGGAAUUUUGGACAAUGGGGGAAACCCUGAUCCAGCCAUCCCGCGUGUGCGAUGAAGGCCUUCGGGUUGUAAAGCACUUUUGGCAGGAAAGAAACGUCAUGGGUUAAUACCCCGUGAAACUGACGGUACCUGCAGAAUAAGCACCGGCUAACUACGUGCCAGCAGCCGCGGUAAUACGUAGGGUGCAAGCGUUAAUCGGAAUUACUGGGCGUAAAGCGUGCGCAGGCGGUUCGGAAAGAAAGAUGUGAAAUCCCAGAGCUCAACUUUGGAACUGCAUUUUUAACUACCGAGCUAGAGUGUGUCAGAGGGAGGUGGAAUUCCGCGUGUAGCAGUGAAAUGCGUAGAUAUGCGGAGGAACACCGAUGGCGAAGGCAGCCUCCUGGGAUAACACUGACGCUAAUGCACGAAAGCGUGGGGAGCAAACAGG
This 429-nucleotide ribosomal RNA is filed under the name Acidobacteriota bacterium. RNAcentral's name for it is "Acidobacteria bacterium partial 16S ribosomal RNA". It matches the Rfam family "Bacterial small subunit ribosomal RNA", at positions 355 to 776 of the family's 1533-position model. Lineage: Bacteria; Pseudomonadati; Acidobacteriota. The record is from RNAcentral.